Molecule: ribosomal RNA, 234 nt
Filed under: uncultured bacterium
Lineage: Bacteria
Description: partial 16S ribosomal RNA
Rfam family: Bacterial small subunit ribosomal RNA
Source: RNAcentral
GAUCCUGGCUCAGGAUGAACGCUAGCGACAGGCUUAACACAUGCAAGUCGAGGGGCAGCAUGAUUUGUAGCAAUACAGAUUGAUGGCGACCGGCGCACGGGUGAGUAACGCGUAUGCAACUUACCUAUCAGAGGGGGAUAGCCCGGCGAAAGUCGGAUUAAUACCCCAUAAAACAGGGGUCCCGCAUGGGAAUAUUUGUUAAAGAUUCAUCGCUGAUAGAUAGGCAUGGGUUCU